AGAAAUAACGGGAUGGUUAGUAACGUUAGUAAUGGUCAGGGAUGGUGGUGGUAGAGGCAGAGUCAGGCAGAGUUGCCGGGAAAAGAAAUGUGAAUGUCCGUUAUGAUAAGUAAAGGAAGCUGUAAAAUGAAAGAAGUUGAUUAAUACAGUAAUAUAAAGAUAUGCGUACCGCGCACUGCGUACCAUGUGACUGAGUCGCGAUCACAUGACAAUCAACCUAGCAGCUAUAGUGGGGACCACGAUUUAAGAUCACGUCAGAUCACGUGUUAAGAUAAACUUUUAAGCUAAUAGUAAUACCAGAUUAAUUUCUUCUAUAAUAAAAGUUUAUUUCAUAUACA
Ceratina calcarata is the source of this 338-nucleotide long non-coding RNA. RefSeq lists it as uncharacterized. Lineage: Eukaryota; Metazoa; Arthropoda; Insecta; Hymenoptera; Apidae. The record is from RefSeq and is a predicted model, not a curated record. The transcript has 2 exons.